AUGCUUGAGCCAGGCCCCUGGGGUCCUGAUUUCUUCCCCCAAGGCCAAAGGCGGCUCGUCCACCCUCCCUCUCUCCCGCCUCUUCUCCCUGCACUGGAACCUGCCAGUCUGUUCCCCUUCCCGGGCCUUCCCUUCUGGGAAGCUCCCUUUACAUCAGUGGGGAUUUUGUCUCCCCAGGGACAUUGGCCACGUCUGGAGACACGUUUUGGGGACAUGACUGGGUGGAGGGGGCUGCAGGGAGUCUGGUGGGUGGGGGCCAAAGAUGCUGCUAAGCGUCCUACGAUGAGCAGGACAGUAACCCCCUCUCCCCCACAUCAUCCCUCUCAGAAGGUCAACAGCACCCAGGUGAAGAAACCCUGCCUUGAACCCACCACUGGCAGGAAGCCCCCAUUCCCCUGGCCAAGCCCUUGCUGGGAAGGGGGCAGUGUCACCCGAGCCUGGCCCUGCCCACUGCCCCUGAUUGUAGAAACCUCUCAGAACCUCUUUGCCCUUCUUCUCCUCCUCUUACUCCUCCUCCUCCUUCUUCUUGACAGGCAGAGUGGACAGCGAGAGAGAGAGAGAGAGAGAGAGAGAGAGAAAGGUCUUCCUUUGCCGUUGGUUCACCCUCCAAUGGCCGCCACGGCCGGCACACUGCGGCCGGCGCACCGCGCCAAUCCGAUGGCAGGAGCCAGGUACUUAUCCUGGUCUCCCAUGGGGUGCAGGGCCCAAGCACUUGGGCCAUCCUCCACUGCACUCCCUGGCCACAGCAGAGAGCUGGCCUGGAAGAGGGGCAACCGGGGCGCUCCGAUCGGGACUAGAACCCGGUGUGCCGGUGCCUCAAGGCCGAGGAUUAGCCUAGUGAGCCGCGGCGCCAGCCCUCUUUGCCCUUCUGCUUUCCUGCUUUGGUGUUUUGAAGGUCUUGUGAAACUGGACAAAGAGAGAGAGAGAGAGAGAGAGAGAGAGAGAGAGAGAUCUUAUCCACUGGUUCACUCUCCAAAUGCCUGCGGUGGCCAGAGAUGUGCUUAA
RNAcentral lists this long non-coding RNA (1005 nucleotides) under Oryctolagus cuniculus (rabbit). RNAcentral's name for it is "lncRNA (ENSOCUG00000038119.1)". Lineage: Eukaryota; Metazoa; Chordata; Mammalia; Lagomorpha; Leporidae. The record is from RNAcentral.